UUAAAUGGCCGCGGUAUUUUGACCGUGCAAAGGUAGCAUAAUCAUUAGUUUUUUAAUUGAAAGCUGGAAUGAAAGGUUGAAUGAGAAAAUAACUGUCUUUGUGAUAUUUAAUUUGAACUUUAUUUUUAAGUAAAAAAGCUUAAAUUUUAUUUAAAGACGAGAAGACCCUUUAGAGUUUUAUAAAAUUUUUAUUUUUGCUUUUUUAGAAUUAAUUAUAAGAGGAUAAAAUUUUAUUUGAUUGGGGCGAUUAAAAAAUUUAAAUAACUUUUUUUUUUAUUAUACAUUAAUAUAUGAAUGUUUGAUCCAUAGAUUAUGAUUAUAAGAUUAAAUUACCUAAGGGAUAACAGCGUUAUUUUUUUUGAGAGUUCUUAUCGAAAAAAGAGAUUGCGACCUCGAUGUUGGAUUAAAAUUAAAUUAUGGUGUAGAGGCUUUAACUUUAGGUCUGUUCGACCUUUAAAAUUUUACAUGAUCUGAGUUUAAACCGGUGUAAGCCAGGUUGGUUUCUAUCUUAAAUUAAUUUUAGUAUUUUAGUACGAAAGGACCAAAUAGUAUAUUAAUAGUAUAACUUGCGAAUAAAUAUUAAUU
Molecule: ribosomal RNA, 585 nt
Filed under: Meligethes denticulatus
Lineage: Eukaryota; Metazoa; Arthropoda; Insecta; Coleoptera; Nitidulidae
Description: partial large subunit ribosomal RNA
Rfam family: Bacterial large subunit ribosomal RNA
Source: RNAcentral